Molecule: ribosomal RNA, 379 nt
Filed under: uncultured eukaryote
Lineage: Eukaryota
Description: SSU rRNA
Rfam family: Eukaryotic small subunit ribosomal RNA
Source: RNAcentral
AGCUCCAGGAGUGUAUAUUAAAGUUGCUGCGGUUAAAAAGCUCGUAGUUGAAUUUCUGCCAAAGCUGGCUGGUCCGCCCUUUGGGUGAGCAUCUGGCUCGGUGGGGCAUUUCUUGGGGAGUGUGUCUUCACUUGAUUGUGUGAUGUGUUGCCCAGGACAUUUACUUUGAGAAAAUUAGUGUGUUUCAAGCAGGAUCAUGCCUUGAAUACAUUAGCAUGGAAUAAUGGUAUAAUGUCUUGGUUGUAUUUUGUUGGCGUCUAUGGCUGAGGUGAUGAUGAAAAGGGAUACUUGGGGGCAUACGAAUUUAACUGCCAGAGGUGAAAUUCUUGGAUUUGUUGAAGACGGACUGCUGCGAAAGCAUUUGCCAUGAAUGUUUUCA